This 1407-nucleotide ribosomal RNA is filed under the name uncultured Bordetella sp. RNAcentral describes it as "partial 16S-23S ribosomal RNA intergenic spacer". It matches the Rfam family "Bacterial small subunit ribosomal RNA". Lineage: Bacteria; Pseudomonadati; Pseudomonadota; Betaproteobacteria; Burkholderiales; Alcaligenaceae. The record is from RNAcentral.
GGUUCGAUUCUGGCUCAGAUUGAACGCUGGCGGAUGCUUUACACAUGCAAGUCGAACGGCAGCACUGGACUUCGGUCUGGCGGCGAGUGGCGAACGGGUGGUAAUGUAUCGGAACGCCUAGUAGCGGGGAUAACUGAUGCGAAAGGUAGCUAAUAUCACAAUACCUUCGUGUAGUUGGGACCUUCGGGCCUCGCACUAUUAGAGCGGCCGAUAUCGGAUUAGCUGGUUGUGGUAACGGCUCACCAAGGCGACGAUCCGUAGCUGGUUUGAGAGGACGACCAGCCACACUGACUGGAGAUACGGCCCAGACUCCUACGGGAGUGCGGUGGGGAAUUCGACAAUGGGGAAACUCUGAUCCAGCCAUCCUGGCGCAAGUAGGGGAUGAAGGCUCUCGUUGUAAAGCACUUUGGCAGGAAAGAAACGGCAUGGAUAAUACCCCGCAACUGAUGGUACCUGUAAUAAGCACCGGCUAACUACGUGCCAGCAGCCGCGGUAACACGUAGGGUGCAAGCGUUAAUCGGAAUUACCGGCAGAAGCGUGCAGGCGGUUCGGAAAGAAAGAUGUGGAAACCAGAGCUUAACUUUGGAACGUAUUUUAAUCACUGAGCUAGAGGAAGGAGGGGAGAAUUUGCGGAAAAAGCGUGAAAUGAUACGUGAGGAACACCGAUGGCGAAGGCAGCCUCCUGGGAUAACACUGACGCUCAUGCACGAAAGUGGCGAAACAGAUUAGGGAUACCAGUCCACGUCAAACGAUGUCAACUGGCUGCUGGGGCCUUCGGGCCUUGCAGCGCAGCUAAUGAAGUUGACCGCCCGGGAGCACGGUCGCAAGAUUAAAACUCAAAGGAAUUGACGGACCUGCACAAGCGGUGGAUGAUGUGGACGAAUCUCGAUGCAACGCGGAAAACUUUACCACCCUUGACAUGUCUGGAAUCCCGAAGAUUUGGGAGUGCUCGCAAGAGAACCGGGCACAGCGUAUGGCCGUCGUCAGUCGGGGUCGGAGAUGCUGGUUAAGUCCCGUAACGAGCGCAACCUUGGCCAUUAGUUACGCGAAAGGGCACUCUAAUGAGACUGCUGCGGACAAACCGGAGGAAGGUGGGGAUGACGUCAAGUCCUCAUGGCCUUUAGCGUAGCUUCACACGUCAUACAAUGGUCGGGACAGAGGUCGCCAACCCGCGAGGGGGAGCAAUCCCAGAAACCCGAUCGUAGUUCGGAUCGGUCUGCAGGCCGGACUGCGUGUCGGUGCGUAACGCGGGAUCAGCAUGUUGCGAGUUGCUGUCUUGAGAGUCCUAACACACCCGCCCAGAUACGGUCCAUGGGAGUGGGGUUUUACCAGGAAGAGUUAGCUUCAACCGCAUGAGGGCGAUUACCACGGUAGGAUUCAUGACUGGGUGAAGUCGUAACAAGGUAG